RNAcentral lists this ribosomal RNA (485 nucleotides) under uncultured bacterium. RNAcentral describes it as "partial 16S ribosomal RNA". It matches the Rfam family "Bacterial small subunit ribosomal RNA", at positions 29 to 523 of the family's 1533-position model. The record is from RNAcentral.
AGUGAACGCUUGCGGCGAGCUUAACACAUGCCAGUAGAACGGGAAGGGAAUCUAGUUUGUUAUAUUUGUCAGCUAAGUGGCCCAUGGGUGGGUUAAUUUUAGUUAACCUGCCCUUAAGAAAGUAAUAAAAGUGGGAAACGCCGGCUAAUGCCCUAUGUGCUUUAAAUACAUAAGUAUGCAAGGGAAACGCUUUAGUGCUUAAGGAUGGGUCUGUAUGGUAUCAGCUUGUUGGUGAGGUAAUGGCUAACCAAGGCUAUGACGCCUAACUGGUUUGAGAGGAUGAUCAGUCACACUGGAACUGAGACACGGUCCAGACUCCUACGGGAGGCAGCAGUGGGGAAUAUUGCACAAUGGACGAAAGUCUGAUGCAGCAACGCCGCGUGGAGGAUGACACAUUUCGGUGCGUAAACUCCUUUUAUAUAGGAAGAUAAUGACGGUACUAUAUGAAUAAGCACCGGCUAACUCCGUGCCAGCAGCCGCCGUAA